GCCUCUGUGGGCUCAGUGGUAGAGCAUCUGUCUUGGUAACAGCAAGGUUCCCCCGGUUCAAUCCGCGGGCGGAGGCA
Molecule: transfer RNA, 77 nt
Filed under: Pythium insidiosum
Lineage: Eukaryota; Oomycota; Peronosporomycetes; Pythiales; Pythiaceae
Description: tRNA-Pro
Rfam family: tRNA
About the family: Transfer RNA (tRNA) molecules are approximately 80 nucleotides in length. Their secondary structure includes four short double-helical elements and three loops (D, anti-codon, and T loops). Further hydrogen bonds mediate the characteristic L-shaped molecular structure. tRNAs have two regions of fundamental functional importance: the anti-codon, which is responsible for specific mRNA codon recognition, and the 3' end, to which the tRNAs corresponding amino acid is attached (by aminoacyl-tRNA synthetases). tRNAs cope with the degeneracy of the genetic code in two manners: having more than one tRNA (with a specific anti-codon) for a particular amino acid; and 'wobble' base-pairing, i.e. permitting non-standard base-pairing at the 3rd anti-codon position.
Source: RNAcentral